RNAcentral lists this unclassified non-coding RNA (284 nucleotides) under plant metagenome. RNAcentral describes it as "partial contains small subunit ribosomal RNA, internal transcribed spacer 1, and 5.8S ribosomal RNA". The stretch from base 1 to 53 matches the Rfam family "Eukaryotic small subunit ribosomal RNA", at positions 1778 to 1831 of the family's 1831-position model. The record is from RNAcentral.
GGAAGUAAAAGCGUAACAAGAUUUCCGUAGGUGAACUUGCGGAAGGAUCAUUAUUGUAUAACCGAGGUGCGAGGGCUGUCGCUGACCCGAAAGGUCGUGCACGCCCGAGUGCCCUCACACACAUCCAUCUCACCCCUAUGUGCACCACCGCGUGGGUCCCCCUUUGGCUUGUUCGGAGGGGGGCUUACGUUUUCACACAAACUUAGUAUGCAGUGUAGAAUGUAUUUUUUGUUUUUGCGAUCACGCAAUCAAUACAACUUUCAACAACGGAUCUCUUGGCUCUC